RNAcentral lists this unclassified non-coding RNA (145 nucleotides) under soil metagenome. RNAcentral's name for it is "partial internal transcribed spacer 1". The record is from RNAcentral.
UAAUAAGUGUUUUAUGGCACUUUUUAAAUCCAUAUCCACCUUGUGUGCAAUGUCAGUCGAUCUUCUUCAUGGAGAUCGACCAAACAUCAACCUUUAUUUUUUAGCUCUUUGUCUGAAAAAUAUUAUGAAUAAACAAUUCAAAAUA